This is a long non-coding RNA of Acinonyx jubatus (cheetah), 21664 nucleotides long. RefSeq lists it as uncharacterized. The transcript is spliced from 2 exons. The record is from RefSeq and is a predicted model, not a curated record. Lineage: Eukaryota; Metazoa; Chordata; Mammalia; Carnivora; Felidae.
CAUCCCCGGCAUGGGCUGCUGUGUCGAUCAGGUGGCAACUUGAACUCGACCCUCCAGUGGAAGAGAAGGGGAGAGAGGAGCCUCAAAGACUUAGGCCCUGGUGGGACAAGUUGGUCCAGGUGCUGGAAGAAGCUGAUGGAAUGCAGAUGGGGCUGGGGUUGCGAUCCUAGCUCCCCAUGACACACAUCCCAAAUUGAGGCCAUAUGGCUGCUGCUGCAAAGAGACCCAGAUGCUGGCUUAGGUGACAGGUGAGACUAGGCCACACGGACACACAGGGAGACAAUAGCCACAGCCCUGCAAGGCACAUGGGUGAGUCUCGGGAUCAUAGAAAACUCUCAGGUGGGAAACAAAAAUUUUACAGACUUGAAAUGAUAGCAUCAAGUGGCACCUGGGUAGCUCCGUCAGUAAGCAUCUGACUCUUGAUAUUGGGUUUGUGGGAUCAAGCCCCACAUCAGGCUGUAUGUUGACAGUGCAGAGCCUGCUUGGGAUUCUCUCUCUCUAUUCCUCUCUGCCCCCUCCCCUGUUCUCUCUGUGCCCCUCCCCUGCUCUCUCUCUCUCUUUCAAACAUAAAUAAACUUUUAAAAAAGUCAGGCUCAGGUCGGCAGCUAUAAGUCAUUCAGCUGGGAUUGCCAGCCCUGGCUCUGAGAUUUUGGAUGUAGAGUUAAACAGGUUUGACUCUAGAAGGCGUAGCUCAGGAAGCAAGACCCAGAGCCAGGAAGAGGGCAGAAUAUCAAAGACUGCAGAGCCACAUCCUCUAAACCAGUAACCUCUCUCAUGGCAGCCCAGAAGCCCAGGGAAGAAGGUAGGUGUUCCAGAUAGUGCCUGUUGGUGAUCAUAAUUACAGCAACACCAAUGACAGAGAGGCUACACCAGGUUGUGAGCCAUGGAGGUAGAUUGCGUCACUUACCAGCUCCUCUAUCUUCUUGCUUUGUUACUUCUAGUACAUCGCUUUCCCUUUCUGGGCCUCCAGAAAUGGCAUCAUACAUGUUGUUGCUAUAACAAUUCUGUACUUAGAUAGCUUCGAUGUUGUAGAAGUAGCAGUUGGUAGUGGCUAUCAGGAAAUAGCCUCUCGUGUACAAUUGGGAUAAUAAUAAUGCUUCACAGAAUUUACAGCAGAUAUCAGUGAAGGGACAAAUGGUGAAUAUCUGUGGCACUGGGAGCCAUGUGGUCUCUGUUGAGACUCUUCCAUGCUGCUGUAAACUGGUGGAAAGUUCCGGCAUUUGAAAGUCUGUUAUUUGUCAUAGAAAUUUGCAGAAAAGCCUGCAGUAGGCGAGUGGCCCUUGGCUUAUAAAUGAAAUUGCAUAAAAUGGUAGCCUUAAGUGUUAGACUUUGGACUCCAGAGUGUCAACACAGUCAAAUGCAAAGAAUGGCUAACUUUUAUUAUUUUUUUUAACGUUUAUUUAUUUUGAGAGUGAAAAUGUGAGCAGAGGAGAACAGAGAGAGAGGGAGAGAGAGAAUCCCAACCAGACUAUGUGGUCAACACAGAGCCUGACAUGGGGCUCAGUCUCAUGAACUGUGAGAUCAUGACCCAAACUGAAAUCAAGAGUCAGACACUUGACUGACUGAGCCACCCAGGCUCCCCACCCCCCCUUUUUUUUAAUACAAAGUUUUAGGCUGCCUAAGUGUGAUAAUAUGAGGCAUGUUCUUUCUGCAAGUCUACCCACCUUUGUUCUAACAUUCCUUUUGAUUUAUCUAUCUCAUCUACCCUUUUUUAAAUAGAAAAUAUAAUUUGGCAAGUGGCAGCCCAUAGUUAAAUAAGUACCACCAAAAAGUCUGAAAAUGUGUUUUUCAUUUACAAGGAAAAGAGUUAAGCUGAUUUAGAGAUGUUGUGUGUUGCCAGUAACACUUAAAGGAGAUAUACUUCAUCCUUAAGGUGAGAAGCAGCUGAGAAAUGGCUCUUGGAACCUUUUUCGGUGAAGUAUUCUCUUACCCUCUCUUGAAAUUAAAAAGAAAAAGAAGUGAAGAACAUGCAGAAAGCCAUGUUAGGGUGCUGUCUCUUCGAGCUCUGUAAAUUUUAGAUGGUGUUGCUCUAAAUAAAGGUUAGGGAGCGUAAAUGGCCAGCCUAAAUGGGGCUGACCGUGGUAAAUACAGGUUUUGGUGCCUGGCAGAUAUUUUGUAACAAGGUUCUCCAAAAGCAAAAGCAAAGUGAGGUCUGAGUAAUGACCUAUUUCGUCUGCAGUGUGCAGGGAAUGGGGCCUUUUUUCUUUAAUUUUUCAAAAGAACUCUGGAAAGCGUUUCUAAUUUCAGUCUAAUGGAACCUAACAUCGGGGGUUUCUCAGGUCAGUGUUUUCUACGAAUCACACCCCACGGUCAUCUUGUAACAUAAUGUCCAGUAUUCAUACACUCUCUGCAUAACGCACAUCUUUAGAUUGCUUUUUAUUAGUUUGGACCCUGACUAUUGUGAGGAAGUUCUCAUGACUAUUUUGUAUGUGUCUGUGACAUGAAUUCAUCAAGUGCCCAUUAGUUCCUACUAUGUGCAGUCCACUCACUCUUGAAUGUGAAUGUCAUGAAGACUGAGGCUUUUCUGUACUGAUUUAAAGAUUUGAAAUCCACCCAGAUAGAAGAUGUUUCUGACCAAAAUUGACGAUGCUGUCAGUGGGGUUUGGUGAGCAGAAUGGAUCUUCUUGAAAUUCGUAAAGCUUAUGUGGGUAUUUCGAGAAAACAGCAAGACAGCUUUUCCAGCAAAAAAAGAUGGUUUGGUUUUCUCUGUCAUAUUAAUGGUACCAAGCUGUGACGAUUUAAAAUAGCACAAAGAAAUGAGGAAAGAGUUGGCUUUUAGGUUGGCUUGUCCUGGAAUGGAGACCUAGGACUUAAUGAGUUCAGGCUGAAAUUUCCCAAACCCUGGCCUCAGAAGAAUCCAGACAUGUGCCAGUUCAAAGACGAACUGCAGCACCCUUUCCUGUGUUGAUCACGUGAAACGUGUGAUUCCUCAGAAGUAGUCCAGUAUUUCUCUGAUAAUAGCCAUGUCCUGAGAGGUGAACGGACUAGUAAUGUGAGAUGCUAAGGUAUAAAGCUUCCAUUCUCAGGUGCCUACAUGUUGGAUACACUUGAGGGAUCUGCGUUGGUGAGUAGAAGAAAAGCAUCCAUGGUGCAGGACGCCCUUGCUCCCUGCAGCCCAGCAUUCACUCGUGUGUCCAGCAGCCUCUCUAGAAAUGCUGAGUAAUCAGAGCAGGGACACUCAUUCCAUCGGAGCCCCGGACAGAAAGACAGCUUGCUGUGCUCAGAGCAAUUCUAAAGAGGGAAGAAGGUGUGGGGUUUGCCAAAGUAGGGGUGAGUGCUAUUGCAUGAAACGUGGAGAGCUUUCAAAAAUAUUUGCUACUUUUCUUGAAAACAGCUCCACAAAAGCAUUUUAGCAGAUGUGGAAAGAAAACAUUAUCCAGCCCAUGUAUCGAUGAAAUCUACCGCACAUUUUUUUCCAAGCAUCCAAUAAUCCAUUAGAAAUAAAGUGUUCCUAACUGCAGGCAAGGUAAGAAAGUCAUUGUCUGAAGUUUAUUAUCUGGAACGCUGUAGUGGAACAUGGUGUGCUAAUGGGUGAAUUCACUUACUUUUCAAAUGGUUUCCCCAGAGGAGCUGUUUACAUGAUUGUCCUUCUCUUUUCCUGCUCCUCUCCCUGUUGCUCUCUGACCAACAUCAUUUAGAUUUAGCAGAUAGAGUCGAGUAGUUGCAAAUGUGCCAAACCUACUUCAUACACAUGAGCACUGUCCCCUUGGAACCAAGGGACUUUCUGUACUAAGGAUUCUUAUUUUUUUUUUCAACGUUUUUAUUUAUUUUUGAGACAGAGAGAGACAGAGCAUGAACAGGGGAGGGGCAGAGAGAGAGGGAGACACAGAAUCUGAAGCAGGCUCCAGGCUCUGAGCUGUCAGCACAGAACCCGACGCGGGGCUCGAACUCACGGGCCGUGAGAUCAUGACCCAAGCCGAAGUCGGACGCCCAACCGACCAAGCCACCCAGGCUCCCCUCUGUACUAAGGAUUCUUAAUCUUAAUGCAGUAUUCCUGCCUAUGAGUGAGGGUCAACCUUGGCUGUAUUAACACAGAAACAUCCCUGUUCUAAAACCUCCAUCUCUAUACACUUAAUCUGAUGGUUAUGCAAGGGGAUCCAUCUGCCAAAGGCCACAGUCCAUCCCAAGACGGUGAGAAGAGGAGCAGACAUUACAAAGCUGUAUCUAAACCCCUUUCAGGGGCGCCUGGGUGGCUCAGUUGGUUAAGCGUCCAGCUCUGGAUUUCAGCUCAGGUCUUGAUCUCACAGUUUGUGAGUUCGAGCUCUGCAUUGGGCUCUCCGCUGACUGUGCAGAGCCUGCUUGAGAUUGUGUCUCCCUUUCUCUCUCCCCCUCCCCUCCUGGCUCUGUAUCUCUCCCUCUCUCAAAAUAAAUCAAAUAAAACGUUAUAAAAAAAUAAACUCCUUGAAUGAGUAGAUUGGGUAUUUCCCGUUAUGGAGCAAAACGUAUCAGUCAUGCCAUUGAGCAGAUAUGUUUACAUGAUUUCCCAUUUCUUCUACCAUGUGUACAGUGGCACAGGUUUUCUUACAGCAUGCUCUGUUUCUCGACCUGACAAUAAAAAUUAAGCUCCCUAGAUUAUAUUCCCAUGGUGGGGUGAGGGAAGGGCACCCAGCUUUAGGGUUGAAUUUUGACCUGCCCCUACUUGAGUCAGUCUGUCUUCUUUAGUCUCCCUUUCUUAAACUCUUGAACAGGGUCAUCAGUAAAGCCAAAAAAACAGGACCUGUGUUAGAAUCAAAAUCAAUUGCCCAGUGUAGCCGUUGGCACCUAAAAAGGACUGUGCACAGUGUUUUUCUUCUCUUGAGAUUUUAAGGAAAAAAGUUUCAUGGUUUUAACAGACAGGGUUUUAAACCUUUGGGGUUAAAGUCACAUUAAUACUCUCAGAUUGUUGGUUGCCUUGAGAGCAGGCAGUGUUUGGUGCAGGCUCUGUCCCCCGCAGAGAUAGAAGUUCCAGGGUUCACGGCACUAAUUAGACCAUGUCAGACAGGGAUGGGGGGCAGGGCAGGGCCACAGCUUCUGCCUUUGGCAAAAAAUGUUAACUGUGAUUUGACAGUGAACUGUGUGCUCGCAUGUUCUCUGUGACUAUAAAUAUUGAUCCCAAAGAAAAACUAAGAUGAUACUGUGGUGUGGCACGUUUCCACCGUUCUUCUGUCCGUAUUGUUAUUUUAAAAAUAUUUUUAUUUAAAUUCAUUCUCUUUUUUUUAAGGCUUAUUUUUUACAGAGAGCAAGUAGGGCAGGAGCAGAGAGAUGGGGGGCAGAAGGGGGUGGAGAGAGAGAGAGAGAGAAAGAGAGAAUCAUGAGUAGACUCCAUGCCAUCCCUGUAGAGCCUGAUGCAGGACUCAAACCCAUGAACCCGAGAUCAUGACCUGAGCUGAAACCAAGAGUCAGACACUUAACUGUCUAAGCCACCCUAAAUUCAUUCUUUUUAAGCCACCCAGGUGCCCCUAAAUUCAUUCUUUUUAAGAGUAAACAAAUUUUAAAAAGAAAUAAUCCUAAAUAAAUAAAUAAGACCUCCUUGAAUGGCAUAGCCUAAUCUUUUAUUAACACGGUUAUCAUUUGAGGGUCCCAUUCCCCUGACUUAUAAAAUAGCAUCAGGACCAAGAGGAAUCAAAGCUCAGUAUGUUGCUGGCGUGAAACUGUAAUUUUUAAGAACCCAGAUCUGAGUAACUUCUCCAGUUCAGCCAUCAGGUUCGGAAAGCCCUCAUCAACCAGGCAGAAUGUGUUAAAUCCAAACCCACUGAAAGACGUUAGCCAGAGAAUGGCCAUGCACAGCCCCUGACUCCUUGUGGCUACCUGGGUGUUCUGUUCUGGUUGCUGGGAGUACCUACAGGCUUCUUGAGGUUAGGAGCCCUGUCUUAACACUCCUGUAGCAUUUUUCUUGCGGUGUAAUCCUAGUGAUGUGCAUAUAGCAUACGCCAUAAUCACUUGCCGUGCACACUUGGGCCAUCUGGCAGCUGGCCAAGCAGAGCAUUCCCAUGUCCUUGGGACUGUUUUGUGUUGUCUUGCAUAGGCUGUCAAACAGUGUGGCCCUCAGGUGUUCCUGGCUUCGGGGAUCAGUGAUGAAAUUCACAGGUUUCUGAGAGUGCAUGGUUUAAGACGUUAUGGUAAAGCUUACAUAGCAUGUUUUAGGUAAAGUUUUUAGUCUACUCCUCCCUUGCAUUUGCAUUUAGAACGGCUGAGGAAGCUAGCUGUGUUUGUCUUGGACUGGAUUCUCUACAGGCUUGGAGCCGCCCACUUCUCUCCUGACUUUAACAUCAGUCUGGAAGAUGCGGCCCCCUGACCAGUGGAGAGAGCCUGGUCAGGAAGAGGGAUAGGAAGGACAGUUUGCAUGUUCACACUUCUGGGCCCGGGUGCUGGCUGUGCCUGGGAUGGGGCAAAACACACUGAAGGGUAGAUCAUUUAUUUUUUGUCUACGUUUCUAUUUUGAUUGAGUGGAUACUUUGGAGCUUAGCAUAAAUUUUCUUGGGAUGGUUGUGGUGGCAGCGGGGGUUUAUUAUAUGGUAAAGGAAGAAAAUUUUAGUUUUUAAAAGAAAGAUAUUUUUGAGCCAUUGUAAUAACGCUUAUAUUUUACAAAGACCUCUCGUACACUGUGCAAAAGAAUAGGACAUUCACAUGAAUAUUUAGUACUUAAUUAAAAAAAAAUUGUCUACUAGCUUUUCAGACAUGCUCCUGAAGAUUUUUUUCCCAAUAUACCCAAGGAGUUUUCCCUCCCAGUGUAGUGCUAGCCAAGAGUUUCAUUUUCAUUAUAUAAAAAUAACUGGUUAUACUGCAGAGGCCUAUUUUUGGUAGCAGAGUGUCUAUAUUUGGUUUCUUUAAUCUUAAAAAAAAAAACCAUAGUAAAGAUAAAAACUUUUCUUAUUUUGUGAGAAUAAUGCAUUUUCCUUUUAUAGAACGUACAGAAAACUAUGUGACAGUGAAAUCCCACCAACAGGAGAUAACCACUGUUAGUAUUUUGGUGUUUCUCCUACUCUUACCCAUAGGAGAAAAAUACUGUGAUUAAACCAUUUAGGCUACUCUGUGAAUUUUCAUAUUUCUGCUUCUUGCUCGUAAGACACAAGUUGAAUUAAAUGGUGUUUAGUGUUCUAAAACUCAAUAGAGUCAGUGAAAUGAUUUGAAAUGAUGCUUUAAAAUGUUAAUAUAUUGCCUGCCUUUUUGAAUCAUUAUGACCAGAGUCUCCCAUAUCUUUUUCUUGAAAAAAUUUUUAAUGUUUGUUUAUUUUUGAGUGAGAGCAAGGACGCGCGAGCGAGCACAAGUGGGGGAGGAGCAGGGAGAGAGGGAGACACAGAAUCCGAAGCAGGCUCCAGGAUCUGAGCUGUCAACACAGAGCCUGAUGUGGGGUUUGAAUUCACAAACCUGCAGAUCAUGACCUAAGCUGAAGUUGGACGCUUAACCUACUGAGCCAUUCAGGCACCCCCAGUGUCCCGUAUCUUUAAACAUUCUUCAGAAAUAUGUUAAUCAUAAGGCAUAAAAUAUGACAUUUAAAUAUUAAGUGGAAGAAAAGAGCCAGUGAGAUUAAUUGAUUAAAAAUGCUGAGAUACAUUCCAGACUUGGAAUUGCUUUUAUUUUCAACCACUUGUUUGAUUACAUAGCUUUUUAAAUACUAGGCCUUGGAUUUAAAGUGUAUCAUUAUUCACCUGAAUUAGAAGAAGGAAUGACCACAUAUUCAGUUUUAUUGCCACCACAAGAAGGAAGGAUUCAAAUCAUAAGAUGAGAAAUAGUCAUAGAAAUCCAACUUCCUAACUUAAAACUAGUGAUCAGGUUCCAAGCAAAGAUAAUUCAGAUUUUAUUAACGUGAAGCAGCUGUGGUCUUUAAUACAGUACUUUUUUUUUUUUUUUUUUUUUUUUUCUGGACAAGGAAAAGGGCUUAUAAAAUAAAGAAUACUUUUGUUGUUUCUUUUUGAAAGCAGCUGGCUUCCCGUGGUUGAGCUGUUUUCGAGUUGAGAAACCCCAGGCUCUGGGUGUUUUUCUUGUAAAGGAGCUGGGAGGAGGGGAGAAGUGGCUUUGACCAUCCUGUGCAGGGUCCAGCUGCAGCAGUGUGGGGACCAGAGGAAAGAAGGACAGACAGGCCCUCCUUCCUCUGCCCCUUCUGUGUUUCCCCAAGGGCCAGCCUGCUGCUUUGAGUCUCACCACCAUGACCCUGCCCACAGGGCCCCAGCAAUGUGAGGAACAAGCUGGCAGGGCAGUCCUGUAGGCCUUGUGGAGGGAGGGCAGAGUGGGGGUUUGGGGGAGGAGGCAGCACAGGGUGGGGAAGGCUGUUCCCUGGUCAGGUGCACAGAACUCAGGGUUAGCCAUGGAGUUCUGCACUGGGUGCUGUGAUCCACUGGCCCCAGCGUUCUCCAGAGGGACGAGUAGGGAAGAUCCUGGGGCUGGAAGCUACCUCCGUUCUUGGGCUGCUUCUACAAACUUCCUAUGACCUCAGGGUCCCUAGGAGAGUAGCUUGGGUGUCAUUUCUUGAGGAUUGCCUUUGAUUCCUGGUGUCGACUCCUCUCCAGACAUUGGCUAGUUUUCCUUAUCAGGGUUUAUAGUUAAUAUUAGUAGGAUUAUUUGAUAAAUGUCACCUCCUUCCUGUUUAGUCACCAUUUUGUCCUCAGCACCAGGCACUGUGUCUGGCCCACAGGAAGCUCUUGGUAAAUAGUCAAUAAAGGAAAAGGUGACUUUUAUUUUGAGAAUUAACCUUACCUCUCAUUGCUUUAUUUAGAUAUCUGAAAUCUCUUGACGAAAAUAUAUAUGUAAACGUUGAUAGCACUCUUUUGGGGGCAUAGCAUUCCAUUUGUCAACAGGAAAAGAACAGAAUUAAAGUAUUCUUUAUUCCAGAUAUUGAAUAUAUAUUUAUAUUACUAUAAAAUAACGUUUAUAUUUUACAUUUUCUGAAACCAUUUUUGGCUAAGUCUUAAUUUUCAAAUUGUUUUUUACAUUUGUAGAUAAUGAUUAUUGCUUAUUAUGUUUGAGAUUUCCUUGGUGUUUAUUUCAGUUUCAAAGAUGAAAGAGUGAGUUUGUAUUAUUAGGCUCAUUUUAAAGGUGAGGAUUUUGAAAGUUGAGAGCAUUUCUCAUUGUGGUAGAUUUGGGAAGGAAAAUUGGAGAUUAGCAGACAUCUUCAGAAUUGUCUCUUGUGAAGUCUGAAGCAUAUUUUGUAAUUAUUGCCUUUCUGAGUCACUUUGCUCCCUUCAGUGAUGAGCACAGCACCCAGCAUAUAUUAGGUUUUGGACACAGUAUUGAAUCAAUGUAUGUAUUUACUUAUGGGUACGAACAUGGAGGGAAGACAUAAAUCCAGCUAUGAACAGUCUUGUAUUAAAGCCUGUUCUUUUUACUUUAAUACAUUAUAAACAGUAGUUGCUUUAAAUUCAGAAGUAGAGAAUCAAGGUUACCAUUGGCCCCUCCCUGCCAUCUUUCCAUGCCCUGAAGCUCCUUCUUAUCUUAGAGUUUCUCUUUCUUGGACCAUGUGUAUUCACUGUGUAUGUUUUUUGUCAGCUUUAUCUUUCCAAAGUUGAGGACUUUGAGACAUGGCAUUGAUUCAGACUCAAGUAAUGUGGAGCUGGAGGUCAUCAUGCAGGAACAAGUCUGAAGACAACCCUUGUUGCUCAUAAGGAAAGGGUAUGCCAAGGAGAAUGAUUUUUUUUUUUUUUUUUUUGCAAAAUGUCACUGGGAAAAUUUUAAUUACUGAAGAGAAUUGAAGUGUUCUAAAUAAUCCUGGACUAGAGGAAUCUGUGAAAAUUUGGGUUUUCCCUAUGGGUUUGUGGGUUCAGAGUUUGGCUCUGCAUUUUGAUAACCAUUGUAGCCGUUGUGUUUUGUUGUUUUGUUCUGAAAACAAAGGUUCUCCUUCUGGAAGCUUCUCCAAGGCCUUACGCACAUAGCUGCUUGACGGUCCCAAGGGACAUGGCUAGUUUUUUAGUAAGUAGUGCUUGUUCCAAAGGGAUAAAGUAGUGGCUCUAAAAUGUUCCUUUAAAAUGUGAAUGGUUAUGGUAUAAUUAUCUACACUGAAAGAAAAAAAAAAUAAUUACUGGCUCUGAAUCAAAAAAAUAACAACACUUUGGCUAUAAAUCCCUAAUUGCCUCUAAAACGCAAAAACAGACAUGUUUAAUUUUUCUUUCCCCUCUGCAACUUAUCUGCUUUGUCUGGUGAUUAAAACAGGCGACAGCCAGUCAGGCCUGCUGGAAUCUGGUCCUUUCCCUGCCACUGAGGGCUUUGGCUCAGCCCUGUCGAUGUGCUUGGCCCUGUUCAAUGCAUCAGUAUAGAAAACUGUUCUCCCUACCAUGUGGGGGGGUCUGCAAAGGUUUUUUCUACUGAGAAAUAGUUCCUAAGACCCUGAAGAUGUUUGUGUGAAAGAUCGUAUGGUCACUGCCUUGUCACAAUGAGUGACUAUGGAUGGGAAUUCCAGGAUUUGGCUUCUUCAUUUCUCUUAACCUUUUAUGUCUUGAAGGUCUUUCCAGGUUGAGAUGUACGGAACAGUACUCCAGUUUUUUAAACUGUUGCCGGGGAUAACAUGGGGUAGCUAUUUCUCCAUGAAUGUACAUUCAGGUGAUAAACAGACCAUACUUAACAUGAACCCUGAUGAUGACAACAACCGAAACAAUAAAGGACGCUUAGAAAGUGCUUACGUGCCUGGCAUUGUUCUUAUUAUCAUCCUUGGUAUGUUUGUUUUCAUCCUCAGAACAAUCCUGUGAGAAAGGUAUUCUCAUUAUUCCUAUUUUAUAUUGGAAUAAAAUGAGAUCCAGAGACAUUUUCUAAUUCGACAACUGUAACAGAGCUACUAAGUUCGAUAGCUGGCGUAUGAAUCCAGAUAGAACUUUAUAGAUAGAUCUGUUUAUCUAUCUAUCUAUCUAUCUAUCUAUCUAUCUAUCUAUCUAUCUAAAACUGCUAAAAUGGCUCUUUGCCUCUGUUUUGCAUUUGCAGCUGCCAGUGAGACAUUUACAUACACUUGUAGGUAUCUUUAUUCCCCAACCCCCACGCUCUCUCAUUGUUGUUUCCCUUCUAACCCCUCAUGCCUCCGGUGAGGAUCAACUACAUUGUCAUUUGUGUGCCAUGCACAUUUCAUCUCCCCCCCCCCCCCCCGUCCAUACCCUUCUCAUCUGUCCAAAUCCUACCAGUCCUUUGCCAGAGCACAAGAUAAUCUCUUGCCUGUUACCUUUGCCAACUGUCUGCUCCAACCUAUAUUGACGUUUUUCUCUUGUAUUUUCUGAAACCAUACAGUGGAAUGCUUAAGGAUGUGAACUGUGGGGUCAGAGUGUCUGGAUUGCUGGCCUUUAGUUUCUUCAUCUAUAAAAUUGGGAUAAUGGUUAUUAUUUCAUACAGCUAGGAAGAGUAAAUAAGAUAAUUUUGUAAAAAAAAAUGUUAUCUUUUUACUGCUACUUUUACAUUCUCAAAACACUUUCCCCUCUUUAUAGUCUUACCCUUGGCCCUUGAUUAUUCUAUUUUAUGUGUUAGCGUUGCCUCUUUAAAUUAUGGGGCUAGGGUCACCUGAUCCUCUCUGUCCACCAGAAAAUCAAGCCGGAGUGGGGAACAGAUAGUAGGUAUUGGCUAUUACCGAAUAAAACAUUGCUGAGAAUGCGUGACUGACUCAUCAUGUCGAGCAUCUGUGCUCUGUAAGCUGUGCUCUGUUUAUCCGUGAAUAAAAACAUUUACCUUCAUUCUGGGGAGCUGUUUUCCAAACACCAUAUUUGAGUAUCUUCAAAUUCCAAACAGUUUAUUAGUCAUACUUCUUACAAACAAUGGCACUUAUUUUCCCUGGGCAGAUACUCUGUAGGCAGACAUCUAGAUCAGUCCAAUUAGAACUUGUUGAAUAACACAAACAGUGAUGUCUUAGCAGCAUGUUUUAUGCAGUCUUGCUUUGUUUCUGCUAGAAUCUGCUUGAUCAAAAUGAACUGUCCUUUUGAAAGCUAUUUUAGCUUUCACAACUUGUACACUCUGUAUAUAUCUACCUUCCCUGUUUCUCCCAGGGAAGAGAAUAACCUAAUUUUAUGGGGUCAUAAGUAGUUAAGUAAGGUAACUGUGUGAAAUCCUCAUGAACCUACCGUCUAGAUCUAGUUAUUAUCCAAUUAAAAUUAGUCAUUAGGACACUUCAUGAGGAAUGGGCAAGUUGUGAGUGGUAGGAAGGUACCAGGGUAAUUAUUCCCUAAUUGCUAAUAAAACAUUAUUUAUAUAGUACUUACUAUAUCCAGUGACUGUUCUAAGGUAUGUAGUUAAACAUGCACCUGUUCACCCCUCUCAUUCCCAUAAGAAAUCCAGGGAGGCAGCGUUGAGGUGAGGAAGAUGAGCCCCAGAGAGGAUGAGUAACUGUGAGGACGGAAGAGGGUGCUGGAGAAAGAAGUCAGAACAUAAACGUGCUCCAGGUGACUGGAGUCUCUGCCUUUCUAGAACUGACCCUGCACUCAAGUAGAGGGGUGUCCACGUGGAAGGAGAAGCUGUGAAAGGGACUGGGAGACCAUAGACAUCAGUUGCUUGGACAUGGAUGGGUCUGACAGCCUAGCCACCUCCUAGCAAUGUGGCCUUAAGUGAGGUACCUUCUCUGAGCAUCAGCUUCUUCACUGGUACAUUAGGGGAAAGGUAAUGGCCAUUGUGUUGCUAUGAAAAAUAAACCGUGUGUAACAAGAGGGUUAGUAGUUGACUGCUUCAAGGGCAUGGCAUCCAAAAAUAAGUCCCUUAAUGCUUCCAGGACUCUUUCGUUGAGCUUCUAAUAUUACAAUUAGGAAAAUAAUUAUGUAAGUUUCAAAUGUAGCUAAAGAAACGGGAACAAUGGUAGCCAUUACUUACAUUCAGCAUAGGUCAUAAGUUGUGGUACAUUGGCUUUCCUUUGGCUCCUCUCUCUCCUUUUCUUCUUGCUGUACUGCAGCUUACUUGAGUAUCCAUCUCUAAAGAAAACAUUUUCUUACUUAGGUGCAAUGGAAGUGACAAAAUGAAAACACUAAAACUUGGUGAUAGCAUAACGUUGGAAAAAAAUUGAAAAACACACUUUGUCUAGUUGAUGACGUUAUGUUUUUUAUGAGUGAUCACUGUACAGGUUAUUUUGUGUACGGGUUUUGUUGCGCUUCCUUCCCUUAAAUUUAUUUUUGAUCAGUUAAUACACUCAAGAUUUAAAUAUCCUCAAAUGCAGUGAGUAGUGACUAAAACACAGAUGUGGGCAUGUUCUAACAAGUGUUGACCUUUUACCAUAAUGGCUUGGAACAUUUUUAAGGGGUAAAUACUGUGGAAGACAGAUAGGACUCCAUUUCCAACUCUGAUUGAUCCCUUUCCCUCUGUCUUCGGAUGUGGAAGGAGCGUUCUAAUGUUGGUGUGUGACUUUGCUAUCUCUUUGCUUUUUUAAAGACUUCUUUUGGAAUUAAGAUGGAUGUUUUGUUAGGUUAAAAUUCAGAUAAAAAAAAAAAGCCACCAGAUCCCUUCAUUCCUUAUUCUAAUCUCCAAGUAGGUAACAUAACUAUCCCCAUUUUACAGGUGCAGAAGCUGAAGCUUUAGAUAGUCGGAAUGAUCUUACUUAGUAAGGUUACAAAACUUGCAAGUGGAGCGGUGGGCAGACCAACCCCGUUGGUUUGACUUCAGAGUCCGCUCUGAGGAUGUGGUAUAACUGUUUCUCUUCUUUGUGAACUCUGAUGCGAAGAUGAAUGUAAAAUAGACUGGACUAGAAGAGCAUAGACUGAAGAGUGUAGACUAGACUGAAGAGCGUAUAGUGGCAAGUUUACAGUCCGCAGUCCAGAGACGAUGUAUUUAGUGGGGUGGAAUAUUCAAAGCGGAAUUUAGGGCCCUGACAAAGCAUAGUAAGGAAGAAGGGAAGGCACUACUCUUUGGACAUGUGCACCUGAUCUAGGAGCUUGAAGAUAUGCACCUGACUGUUAAGAGCAGGGCUUCUCCAGCAUGAUCUCCUUUGACCUGAAUUUGCCAGGAGGUGGCCAUCCCAGUUGACAGAAGGCAAAGCACAGUCCAACCAGGGCUCCUUUCCUGGGUUGUGACCGCCUUCCUCGUGGGUUGUGUUUUAGGAUGCUGGAAAUGGGUGUGUUCAGGCGUGCCCAACCCGUGGGAAGAUGGCGGUGUGGCUGCCUCUGCCCUCAGUUGCCCGGGACUCUCUGAACCCAAGCAGCCUCACACAGAGCGGGGGUGGGGGGCAGCGUGGACCUUGUGCAAGCGCUCUUGUUUCACUUGAUCUUAAGUGAAUGACAGUACAGUUGUUACUGCCUCAAACAUGAACUGUGAUAAUGGCAGAUGGAGAGGAAUAAACCAUCACUCCUUGAGAGCAUCCGCAACUUUUCCAUACUGUUCAGCUUUAAUGGGUUUUCUUUCUGAUAUUCUCAAAAUGAACAUGAAAAAGAACGUUUUGCAACAUCGGCUUCUGUAGGGCAGGGACCCUUUGGAGCAUUGAUGCCCAUCUGACCCUUGUAACAAAUCUUCCGGUUUCAGAGGUGGGCCCAGAUGCGGACUUUGUUUUCUUGAGCAUCAACUAAUUCAUUCUCCCCUUGCCCUGAUCACUGUCACCUGUAUAUUUCUUUCUGAUGCCCAAAUAAGAUAUUAGACAAAAAGACCCACUUGCGCGGAAGCCGUGGUGCUUUUAUGCUUAGAAUGCAGCGCUCAGGCCACCACAGUGAAGUUGCUUCAGGGUCACUGCUUGCAAUGCUGGAAAUGUCUGCUGCUGUGAGGUUUAGCUUGAAGUUGUGCAGGGCAGGGCUCUGCAGCAACAACAGUGGUUUCCAAUUUUGACAGGGCACUAAAUCAACUUGGGGACUUGUAAAUAAAGAGUGAAGCCCAGGCCCCACCCUCAGAGAAUUCUGGCUGAGUUGCCUAGGGUGGGACCAGGUAUUGAUAGGCUGAAAGGCUCUCCAGGGGUUUGUAAUGCACAGCCAGGAUGGAGAACCAGGGCCAGGUAACUGUGAUUCUCAAGCUUGAGUCUGUGGUACCAUCUCCUGAAGGGCUUGUUAAAACCAGGCGACUGGGCCUCACCCUCAGAAUUUCUGGUUCAGUAGGUCUGAGGUGGGGCCGGAGAGUUUGCGUUUCUAGCAAGUUCCCAAGUGAUGCUGAUGUGCUGGUUCUGGGAACCCACUUUAAGGACCUGGUGUGGAAGGAUCUUUCCAAUUGCUUUAUAAGAUUCUAUUACAGUAAAAAAAAAAAAAAAAAAAAAAAAAAGUGAUGCCUACACAAAUACCCAGUGUUGCUUUUAGUAGAACAACUGCAUUAGGCACAAGUAUUAAAGUUUUAUACUGCCCAUUCCUAAGUAAGCUGGGCCGUUAGCUUUUUUUUUUUUUUUAAACUAGUAUGCUAACUGGAAGGCAGCUAGAUCCCCAGGAUCUGAAAGGAACUGGAUUGGAGGCGGGUAAGAGUUGGAAAGAAAAGAAAACAUUGCAAGGGCCUAUGGAAUUAUUACUCGGGCUAGCAAAUGGCCCAUCGAUGGGGGAGCUUUACUGAGACCGGUAGCUGGGGAACACAUGAGUGGCAGCAACACUAACAAUUCUCUGGGCAGCCUGGACUGUGGGACUGUAGUGCCAACAAGAAUAAAAAACAUGGUGCUUGGCCCCCAGAAGAGGGCCCCUUAGCUGCAGAUUGUACGGUCUAUGACUGGACGUAUAGAUUUCUUCUUUAAAUGGACACCCGAAAUUUCUUUUUAUCUCGUUCUUGGGACUUGUCCUAGUCCCCUUUCACUCUCCAAAUACUUGUCUCAGUGUUGUAGUGAAAAACCCAUUAUGAAAUGUUUGAAGUUCUAGGGUUCCACCUCAGCCUCGUCCGGGGAUUCCUCUUACUGCAUUGCUGCCCAUGUGUCUACACCUGACUGUAACGGAGGAGUGAACUUGUAAAAGCAACUGUUCUGUGUCACAUGCUCGCGGCCUUCCAGGAUAGGGCUUUGAACCCAAGCGAUGGCGCGGCUCGACUCACUUUUCCUUCUUGCGAUGUAGUUUCUCUUAGUUGAAGUGCCCAGUGCUGGCUGAUAGAGAAGAAAAGAGCCCAUUCUAUCCAUUUGACAGACCCUUAAUUAAUAGUAAUCAUGAAAACUGAAGUCAUGCACUGCCACGGCAUUCACCAUUGUUGUCUUAGCAAUUCCUGGACUUUACAAACAGAGCGCCCCUUAUUCUGCAAUGAAAUGAAAAAUAAUGGCGUCAUUUCAGCUUUAAAAGGAAGGAAAUGUUCAAGUGGAAUCUCUGUAUAAUUAAGCUUAACAUUAUUAUCAACAGAAAGUGAUUGUGCUUGUGUUCAGAGGCGAGAAGAGACUUAGACAAAGAACUGGUUCUUGUGAUGUAGGAGGUUCCCUCCCACCGAUAGCCAGCUACCUUUGUGUUUGACGUUGGACAGGUGCCGUUUUCGGUGCCUUUCUCUCUCUCAUCCUGCUGCUUUCAAGUUCCUUCUCAUCAGUUCUUGGGACUGUCUUUGUAACAUUUGCUUGUUGGCCGUUUCUUUUUAGGUCUUCCAGCAUCUGCUUUCUUGCUUUUGCUUUUAUAUUUCGUUUUUUUUCUAGGGUGAGAAUCACUUUUUCUUGACUUGGACACACUGGCUUUCUGACAUGUAAAAUGAAAACAGUCUAAUUUUUAGCCAAAACAGGUGUUGAGUGAUUGAUCCUAUCAAGUGGCUCACUCCAGAAACCUCAUUUACUCCUAGCUUCUUUAUUACCUCCUCAUAAUUCAUUAGCUUAAUAAAACGCACGUGUGAAAGGGCAGCGGUCGAAAGCACAGCUCUCCAGUGUGCAUGCGUGCCUGCUCCAUCCCCUGCCCCUAUGCCAGGGGUUGGAGAGGACUGAGCUUCCCCUGGGAACAUCAAGCCUCCAGGACGUGGUGCUAUGUAUGAAGAACCUCCAAUUAGCCCAUGCCUGGGAGAAGGAUUCCUUGUUUGCUGUGGCACAUUGAGUCUGCCCGUCUUAUGGAAACACCACCCGCAUUCCCUUUAGUGGAAUCCCAGGGAUAUAAAGUUUUUAUAUAUGCUGCUUCAUGAUUCCCAACAGCCACAAAAUAUCGAAUUUUUUUGGCCUGUUACGGAAAAUUUCCAGGUCCCCAAAUGUCACCAAAGAAAGCCCCAGCCUCCAAGUAUGUGGUACUUGUUCUCACUAACAUCUAAGCUUGGUUGCUGGAUACCAAAGGCCCACAGAGGAAGAGAUGGGGCGGUUAUUGUCCUAGUCUUCAUUUAGGUUUAGCAAAUGUCUGAUGCUACCCAUUCCCCCCUCCCCUUUUUAACAUUUUCGCCAGAGCCCAGACUCAUCUUGUGGAGCAUUCCCCCCACCUCUUCAUUCCUAAACCCCUGUGUAUUAUAAAGGAAAUGAAAUCCAUAUGUUUCUGAUUCAUUUACAUGUAGCUCAUCAAAAUGUAGUUUUGUAAGAGCUCUUUGGUGUCCAAGAAGCAUUUGGAGCCUUUUUAUGAGACUUUUAAACACCUCCCUCCCUUUCCCCUUAGAACCAGGAAGUCGGGACUUGCCAAGACUAAAUAAAAUCAAGCUUCAGGGUUGACUCCGUCUCUAGUCUGACCCACCAAACUUGAGCACACUCACAGCUUCAGCAAAAACAGAAAAGACUCUCUCUCUACCCUUUUGAAGGUGCCAUAGAAGUGGCGCUAAUCCCACUUAAACUUGGCAUGACAGUGGGUUUGGUCUGGUCCUCAGCUUCUCCCGGAGAGAGCCAGUGAUCUACACAGCUGAACCUCCCCCCUCUGGCCCGUUGGGUGAGCACGAUGCCCGCUGCAGAAGCUCAGCGGGGGGUCUUCCUGGCAGUGUUGCCCACCUCGUCCGCUGGCCGGUCGCUAAGUUAAGUCUUUUUGACUUUCUCAGCCAUGGAUUUCCUACCAGGGGAAUUCCUUUGCACCAGUGACUUCUGUCUUGCAGGAAUGGUGACCGAAACAUCCGGGACCAUAAACUAGGCUUUAGGGCAGCACUGCUGUCAUUUAAUGACCUUUUUGAGUGUUUUUCUUCAGCAAGAAAAGCUUAUAAGCUUUGAGGAAGAAACUACUGCCAUUAGGACUUUAGAGCUUUUACUCUAUACACCCCCAAAAAUGAAAGGAGUCAACCUGUUUUCAGAGUUCAGAUAGUGAGAGGUUCUCGCUUGUCCUCUGUGAUCCUAAAGGGGAUGGAUUACGUACAGCCACUUGAGAGCUUAGGAUUCCUCUCUUGGGCUGUUGUAGUGGGGGGGAGGAAUUCUGCCUUCUUCUUUGCACAUCUCAUCUCACUUCCCUCAGUCAGGGUGGUGUUGGGCCUUUCAGGGGCCACAGCCUGGGCGCAUGGAAAUGCAGAGGCCUGGAAGGAGCGGGAAAGAAAGCUGGACCUGGAAGCCCUCACUCUGCAUUCUAGCUGCUGAACUCAGGCUCUUUCCAGAGUGUGUUUAUUUAUUCACGUGGACGCAUACAAUGUAGUAAAAGUCAUCCGCUCAUUCAUACAUGACAUUGACUCAGGAUGAGUCUGGAGAAGUGUGCUCUGUCUUCUUGUGCAUAGAAUUUGAUAAAGUCCUUGUUUAGCUUCAACACAAAGAUGAUACAAUUAAAUAUUAUGUAUACUGUGCUUGUGUGUGUGUGUGUGUGUGUGUGUGUGUAAGUGGAGGAGCCAUUCUGAGCGGAAAUUUUAAAAUAGCAGCUAUAAAAUGUUUUAGGCAAGUUGGAAAAGUGUAAAUUAGGUCUUGUUCCACCUUGAAGUCUGAGCAUCACCUGAAACCCCAUGGCAGGGAAAAAUCCAUUACCAGCAAUACUUGUGUUGAAGCUGCCCCGUCACAGGUGAAAGGGCUUGCACCAGGGUCCUAGGUGCACUCAGUUAUUUCUCAAAGUGCGUAAGCCUGCUCUUGUAUGAUCCAAGGACAGACAGCCGUCAGUCCAUUGCAAAAAUGCCUUCAAGGGGUCGAAGUUUACCUGAUAGACGGUGAGGACCUUUGGUUCUAUGAGCAGUGGGUAAGAUUUUGUUCAUUUUGUCCUGCCUCCUGCUGGUCUUCACUCUUCAGUGAUAUGUGGGUCCUCAGGUUUACAGAUAACCAAGCACUAUACACAUUGUCUGUUAAUUUCCCCUCAGUGUUCCAGUACUUUACUUUCUGGCGGAGAAAUAGAAGUCGCACUUCAUCCAGUGAAUUGUGCCCAGUGUGAUUAAUUGAUUGAUUUACUCCUUAAGCAGAUACUGAGUGCCUUCCCUGUGUGGAGACUUAUUCUAGGUGCUGGGAAGUAGUGUUUAGGACACAUGCAACUUCUCCAUUGACACAGCUUCUGUUCCUGUGGGUACAGCUUACAUUCUGGGGCUCACCCAAGGAGUCACAGAGCCAAGGGGUGAACUUAGGCCUUCAGCUUCGCUGAGAGAGAGUGGUGACUUUCCUUCCUACUUGAGCUACGGCUGACUUCCCUUAGAAUGGCCCUUCCCGUCAUCCUAUGGAAAAAACUCUGUCACAGCAUUCUCUGCCACACUGAAAUUGAAGACUUUGAGGGAAAAAGCAUUUUUAUCAGAAUUUUGGUAUAGCCAAGAGGUUUAAAGAUCCGGGGGUUUUUGGCAACAUGUUGUGAGUAAUUUCUAAUUAAGGAUGUCUCAAGGACUAGAACUUUGAGGGUGAGCCAUAUGAAAUUUCUUUUUGGUAUAGGUCAGAAUGGUCAAAUACUGGCAAUUCCUCAUGUCUGUCCUCAUAUCAGACAUUCCAAAAGUCUGAUAGAUUUUCUUCCUCUUUGUACCUUGUAUGUGGUAAGUGCUUAAUAAAUGUAAGCAAAAUUGCUAUGUAUAUCUCAGGUACUCAGGCACUUCUGAGCAGUCUAAAUUAUUUGUUUUCUGUCCAUUUUGCAGUUCUUGUAUGUAGCUAAAGUUGUAUAACAUUUUGUUAAAACUUACUAUUCAUCAACUUCAUAGCAGUAGUUUAUAGGAUUUUUCACAGUGCGAUCUUCCCUUCUCCAAAGGGUUUCUUAAACUCUCUGAUCCUCACAUUAUAGCCUCACUGAAAAGGAUGUUGUUGGUAUCCUCAUCCUGGAAGGUACCCAUGAGAGGCGUCUUGAAGGCAUAGGAUAAAGAAGGUGUGUAUUCAACUUCAUUAGCCCUGCCUACAGCUUGGGCUUACCUGCCUCCCAGGACCUGUCCUGAAAUACCAGGUGUUUGGCACCCAGUGGGGCUCAGUAGAUGUUAGCAGUUAUUUUUAUCAUUGCUAUUAAAUGUCAGCGUUGUCAAUGAUAUUAUGAUAAAUGGCAUUAUAGUGACAGAUGAUAUCAACCCUUAUGGUGAGCAUGGUAUAACAUAAGCUUGUGGAAUCACUAUGUUGUACACUUGAAACUAAUGCAACACUGUGUCAAAGCUACUCAAAAAAUAAUUUAAAAAGGUCAUUGUAGGUACGCAUGCUCUGAAAUGAACAGGAUAUCUAAGUGGAUUUUUUCCAAAAAAAAUUUCCUUUGAAAAUUGUUUUUGUUGUCUUGUGAUUUGUUUGUAUGGGUGUAAGUAUUUGGAGGUGGGGAAUAUGAUGUGGAGAUUUUGAUGAAAAGGUACAGUAUUGGCUUCAGUUUUCAUAUCAAAUCACAUGCACAUUAUGAAAUCUAUAAGGAAACCUGCCACAUAGGCUGAUGCCUGGCAUAUAAUAACCCAGAAAAUGCUGUUUUUAACAGUAACUCCAACAGUUCCUUCCUUCUCAAAAUAUAAAGUACCCGAUGUUUUGAGAUUUUUUUGGAUUCUUUCAAAAGCCAUCUUACAGACUCUUUCCAGGAAAAAAAUCCAGAUAGUUGGCGAUUCAAGGUAGUCACUGGAAAAAAUGCAGUGAAACUUAGUAUGUUGGCACCAUGGAGUGAUGGUACCUUUGAAUGUCUUUCUCUAAGAUAACCUCCAUUGUUCACUAUUCAAAUAUAUGUAACAGUUCAAGGGAUGCUUGGCUGGCUCAAUUGGUAGAGCCAGUGACUCUUGAUCUCAGGGUAGUGAGUUCAAGUCCCACAUUGGGGCGUAGAGCCUACUUAAAAAAACAGAGACAAGAAACAGAACAUUUUAAGAUGCAUUGUUAAAAAGAGCAAGGCUUAAAACAAUAGGUGUCAUGGUCUCAUUCGCAUUAAAUAACAUCCAUGGGGGUAGAUUGUGCAGAGGACAAUUUGAAGAAGCACAGGGUUAACUGCAGUGGGGGAGGGGGUUGGGAAAGCAUAGGAAACUAGUUGAAAUAGUUGAUUACACAUGUUUUAUUCUUUCAGUUUUUUUUCUGACGAACAUACAUUUAUUUGGAUAAUGACAACUAAAAGUACCGAAUCUGAUUUAGGCAGGUGAUGCUCUUUCUUUUCAGAGUGCUUAUUAGUCUACAGUUUUAAUAGUCUGCUUUGGUUGUUACAGUAUGAAGUGUCCUGUGUUCUAGCCCCAAGGAUGGACUGUGCUGAGCUUACUUCCCAUCUACAAUGAACUUCAUUUCUAAGUGAAAUAGUUGGCCCAGUUUUCUAAAACAUGCCUGUGGUGUCUGUCAGUGCCAGGUGCAUUGAGAGCUACCCCUGGAAAUAACUGUGGAAGAGGCAGGAGUCUGAAGCAAUACUGAAUCCUUGAUCUAUUUGAAAUGUCAGGGUGCCUGGCAGCCCAGUCGGGUGAGCAUCCAACUCUUGAUUUCAGCUUCAGUCAUGAGGUCAGGGUCGGCGAGAUCGAGCCCAUGCUGGGCUCCAUGCUGACAGCAAGGAGCCUGCUUGGGCUUCUCUCUCUUCCCCCUCUGUCUGCCCCUCCUUUGCUCUCUUACAGUAAAUAAAUAAACUUAAAAAAAAAAAGAAUUGCUUCUAUUUUUAAAGUUUCAGUUAAGACCAAACAAACAAACAAACAAACAAAC